Molecule: ribosomal RNA, 254 nt
Filed under: uncultured bacterium
Lineage: Bacteria
Description: partial 16S ribosomal RNA
Rfam family: Bacterial small subunit ribosomal RNA
Source: RNAcentral
UACGUAGGCAGCGAGCGUUGUUCGGAGUUACUGGGCGUAAAGGGGGUGUAGGCGGUUGUUUAAGGUUGGUGUGAAAUCUCCCGGCUCAACUGGGAGGGUGCGCCGAAUACUGAAUGACUUCGAGUGCGGGAGAGGAAAGUGGAAUUCCGCGUGUAGUGGUGAAAUGCGUAGAGAUGCGGAGGAACACCAGUGGCGAAAGCGACUUUCUGGUCCUUAACUGACGCUGAGGCGCGAAAGCAUGGGGAGCGAACGGG